UAGGGAAUCUUCCACAAUGGGCGCAAGCCUGAUGGAGCAACACCGCGUGGGUGAAGAAGGGUUUCGGCUCGUAAAGCUCUGUUGUUAAAGAAGAACACGUAUGAGAGUAACUGUUCAUACGUUGACGGUAUUUAACCAGAAAGUCACGGCUAACUACGUGCCAC
RNAcentral lists this ribosomal RNA (164 nucleotides) under uncultured bacterium. Its description in RNAcentral is "partial 16S rRNA". It matches the Rfam family "Bacterial small subunit ribosomal RNA", at positions 355 to 511 of the family's 1533-position model. The record is from RNAcentral.